Molecule: ribosomal RNA, 460 nt
Filed under: uncultured bacterium
Lineage: Bacteria
Description: partial 16S ribosomal RNA
Rfam family: Bacterial small subunit ribosomal RNA
Source: RNAcentral
CCUACGGGUGGCAGCAGUGAGGAAUAUUGGUCAAUGGACGAGAGUCUGAACCAGCCAAGUAGCGUGAAGGAUGACUGCCCUAUGGGUUGUAAACUUCUUUUAUAUGGGAAUAAAAUGUUCCACGUGUGGGAUUUUGUAUGUACCAUAUGAAUAAGGAUCGGCUAACUCCGUGCCAGCAGCCGCGGUAAUACGGAGGAUCCGAGCGUUAUCCGGAUUUAUUGGGUUUAAAGGGAGCGUAGGUGGAUUGGUAAGUCAGUUGUGAAAGUUUGCGGCUCAACCGUAAAAUUGCAGUUGAAACUGGCAGGCUUGAGUACAGUAGAGGUGGGCGGAAUUCGUGGUGUAGCGGUGAAAUGCUUAGAUAUUACGAAGAACUCCGAUGGCGAAGGCAGCUCACUGGACUGCAACUGACACUGAGGCUCGAAAGUGUGGGUAUCAAACAGGAUUAGAUACCCUAGUAGUC